This 219-nucleotide non-coding RNA is filed under the name Mesocestoides corti. RNAcentral's name for it is "Eukaryotic large subunit ribosomal RNA". It matches the Rfam family "Eukaryotic large subunit ribosomal RNA", at positions 1623 to 1840 of the family's 3401-position model. The record is from Rfam by way of RNAcentral. Lineage: Eukaryota; Metazoa; Platyhelminthes; Cestoda; Cyclophyllidea; Mesocestoididae.
ACUAGGAAAAUGCAAAAAUUGAAUAGCGAACGAAGUCGGAGACGUUGGUGAGGGCUCCGGGAAGAGUUAUCUUUUUUUUGUAAGGAUGGUUACCACCCUUGGAAUCGAAUUGUCCGGAGAUAGGGGAACCACGUCCGCAAAGCACCACCUCCGUUGUGGUGUCCGGAACGCUCUUGUCGGCCCUCGGAAAUCCGAGGGAGGCAUUGUUAACCUCUUCUA